This 475-nucleotide ribosomal RNA is filed under the name uncultured bacterium. RNAcentral describes it as "bacterial SSU rRNA". It matches the Rfam family "Bacterial small subunit ribosomal RNA", at positions 28 to 507 of the family's 1533-position model. The record is from RNAcentral.
GAUGAACGCUGGCGGCGUGCCUCAAACAUGCAAGUCGAGCGAGGCUAUGAAUUACCGCAAGGUAAGGCAUAGCCUAGCGGCGAACGGGUGAGUAACACGUGGGUAACCUACCUGGAAGACAGGGAUAACGAUUCGAAAGGGUCGCUAAUACCUGAUAAUAUCCGUCUGCCGGAUGGCGGAGGGAAGAAAGGGGAAACCCGCUUUCAGAUGGGCCCGCGUCCCAUCAGCUAGUUGGUAAGGUAAAGGCUUACCAAGGCGACGACGGGUAGCCGGUCUGAGAGGAUGUACGGCCACACUGGGACUGAGAUACGGCCCAGACUCCUACGGGAGGCAGCAGUUGGGAAUCUUAGGCAAUGGACGAAAGUCUGACCUAGCGACGCCGCGUGAGGGAAGAAGGCCUUCGGGUUGUAAACCUCUGUCAUGGGGGAAGAAGUAAGUGACGGUACCCCAAGAGGAAGCCCCUGCUAACUACGUG